GGCAGACGGGUGAGUAAUACAUAGGUAAUCUACCCUUGAGAUUGGGAUAACCCUGCGAAAGUGGAGCUAAUACCGAAUAAGACCACGCGACAUAAGUCACGUGGUAGAAGGUGGCUUGUAUUUAUACUAGCUAUCACUUGAGGAUGAGCCUGUGGCCUAUCAGCUAGUUGGUGAGGUAAUAGCUCACCAAGGCUAUGACGGGUAGCUGGUCUGAGAGGACGACCAGCCACACUGGGACUGAGACACGGCCCAGACUCCUACGGGAGGCAGCAGUGGGGAAUAUUGGGCAAUGGGCGAAAGCCUGACCCAGCGACGCCGCGUGGGUGAUGAAGGCCUUCGGGUUGUAAAGCCCUGUCAUGUGGGAAGAACGGCCCCAUGGUUAAUACCCAUGGGGAUUGACGGUACCACAGGAGGAAGCACCGGCUAACUCCGUGCCAGCAGCCGCGGUAAUACGGAGGGUGCUAGCGUUGUUCGGAAUUAUUGGGCGUAAAGGGCGCGUAGGCGGUUAUGUAAGUCAGAUGUGAAAUACUUCGGCUCAACCGAAGAACUGCAUUUGAUACUACUUAGCUAGAGUACAGAAGAGGGAAAUGGAAUUCCCGGUGUAGAGGUGAAAUUCGUAGAUAUCGGGAGGAACACCAGUGGCGAAGGCGAUUUCCUGGUCUGAUACUGACGCUGAGGCGCGAAAGCGUGGGGAGCAAACAGGAUUAGAUACC
This 713-nucleotide ribosomal RNA is filed under the name uncultured bacterium. RNAcentral describes it as "bacterial SSU rRNA". It matches the Rfam family "Bacterial small subunit ribosomal RNA", at positions 97 to 786 of the family's 1533-position model. The record is from RNAcentral.